UACAGAGGGUGCGAGCGGUAAUCGGAAUUACUGGGCGUAAAGCGCACGUAGGCGGCUUGGUAUGUCGGGUGUGAAAUCCCCGGGCUCAACCUGGGAACUGCAUCCGAAACUGCCUUGCUAGAGUAUGGGAGAGGGAAGUGGAAUUUCCGGUGUAGCGGUGAAAUGCGUAGAUAUCGGAAGGAACAUCAGUGGCGAAGGCGACUUCCUGGACCAAUACUGACGCUCAGGUGCGAAAGCGUGGGGAGCAAACAGG
RNAcentral lists this ribosomal RNA (253 nucleotides) under uncultured bacterium. Its description in RNAcentral is "partial 16S ribosomal RNA". It matches the Rfam family "Bacterial small subunit ribosomal RNA", at positions 524 to 776 of the family's 1533-position model. The record is from RNAcentral.